This 363-nucleotide ribosomal RNA is filed under the name uncultured archaeon. RNAcentral describes it as "partial 16S ribosomal RNA". The stretch from base 1 to 284 matches the Rfam family "Archaeal small subunit ribosomal RNA", at positions 1060 to 1343 of the family's 1478-position model. The record is from RNAcentral.
GAGGUUUGCAGCGUACUCUCUGGAGUGACGGGUACACUGUGGGGACCGCCGCUGCUAAAGCGGAGGAAGGAAUGGGCAACGGUAGGUCAGUAUGCCCCGAAUGUCCCGGGCUACACGCGGGCUACAAUGGUUGGUACAAUGGGUAUCUACCCCGAAAGGGGAUGGAAAUCUCCUAAAGCCAAUCUUAGUUCGGAUCGAGGGCUGCAACUCGCCCUCGUGAAGCUGGAAUCCGUAGUAAUCGCGUUUCAAUAGAACGCGGUGAAUACGUCCCUGCUCCUUGCACAAAAGGUUCAGGUUUCUGUACUAUUUUGUUACUGAAUACUCGGCCGGACAUGUCCAUUCCCUGCUCCUUGCACAAAGGUU